This 887-nucleotide long non-coding RNA is filed under the name Zonotrichia albicollis (white-throated sparrow). Its description in RNAcentral is "lncRNA (ENSZALG00000013649.1)". The record is from RNAcentral. Lineage: Eukaryota; Metazoa; Chordata; Aves; Passeriformes; Passerellidae.
UUUAAAAUGCUUUUUGAAAUAAUGCCCUUUCUCUUCUGAAGGCUCUCAAGCUCUUACAAAAGUGGAGAAAUUACCCUGUUUGUGAGAAACAGGCACAGAGCUGUGGUGCCUGCACUGCUGGCAGCUUUUUGCUGUUUGCCCCAACUUGCCAAUAACCAAAUAAAACAACACCUGUUAAUUGCCCUUUCUUUGCAAAAUCCACUAAUUUCAUAAGCACUAGGAGGGUGAGUCUGCAUUGCUCACGUUGAGGUUUGACCUUGUAAAUCCAGGUUUGCUGGAGACCUGCUGCUGUCAGGGGUACAAGCAGUGUUUGGAGUUUGCUGUUUCACAGGAGGGACUUUCUGUUGUGGGAGAUGUUGUUUUGGCCUUGGACACCUCCUCUUAACAAGCUCCUUCUCCAGGGAAGCUUUGAAACCCGCCUGAGGUUCUGCAUUGGCUCUGAAUGAAAGGUGUUGUGCGUCUGAAGUGCCCGGCCCAAGGGCUCUCCAGCAAUGCAAACAGCCAGCACACAAAGCCAUUAAAGCUCGAGUGCCUGGCCAUGAUUGCCUGAAGACAGUUUGCAGCUGAGUCCCGCAGGAACCGGCUUUGUCUGAAAAACCACCCGAGGCAGGUGGGGAAAGUCCAGCCAUCCACGACUUGUCCUGCAGCCAAGAGGGUCCAGGUCAGUGCUGGGGAGCAGGACUGUGCUGCCACAGGGAUCUCCACACUGCAGCCCUUGCCCUGCAGCCAAAGCAGCACUGCUUUGGUGUUGCUCAGAGACAGCAGCCAGUCAGAGCAGGAGAGAUGCCAGACUUCAGAAAAGAGCAGGGAGUGGGGCUGAAGCGAGGGAGAAAGAGGAGGAUUGUCUCAGGUGAGGGCAGUGCCCUCUGAAGCAGGAGGACACCUCC